RNAcentral lists this long non-coding RNA (918 nucleotides) under Homo sapiens (human). RNAcentral describes it as "HSALNT0058600". The record is from RNAcentral. Lineage: Eukaryota; Metazoa; Chordata; Mammalia; Primates; Hominidae.
UGUCAGACUCUCAGUUAAUCUUCCAAGAUCAGACCAAGGAAAGCUUCAGAGAAAGCCUGGCUGCAUCAAUGAAGAUUUGUCUCUACAAAGGCAGAUCUCCCUGACAAAAGGUAGCCUUUCAUCCAUUCUUAUAUUCCAGCCAUCCUGAAUAGCCAUCUCCAAAUGUCAAAGAAAUAUAUUUUGGGGUGAAGUUCCCUGUGCUACUGUAGAUGCUUUGGUGGAUGCACAGUACAAAGGAUGAAGAAAGUGAAGCAUCAAUUGCUCUACAAUUUGGAGAUAUCAGACGAACAGAGGGAAAAUGCAGUCAGUGGUCUAAAGCUGCCCCUUAGGAAAUCUAAGGCUAUAUCUGGUUCCAUAAAGUCUUUAAUCAGUCAGUCAGAACAACUGCAGCAUUCCUGCCGCUCAGAAUACCUUAAUGGCCUUAGUAGCUGAGGUCCUCACAGCACUGGCAAGAGCAACAUGGCAUUGGAAUGGGAGGACUGAAGUAAGUUUCUUCCACAAAAGCAAGACGGAAGAAGCCAAAGACUCUCUGGUCAUUGCAGAAGGAAGAAUGAGAGCCCAAGCCUGAGGAAGAUAAAAUGAGAUGAUUUGGCUUAAUAUGAAUUAAGGCAGCUGCCAGUGGUUCUGUAAUGAGCAAACUGAUUAUUUUUUUAUGUAGCCUCUAUUCACAUUUUUAUGUUUGAUUUUGUCCUUUGAUUGUAAUGACAGGUUGUGGUUACACAUUAUUAAAGAUGAAUACUAAAGAAGCGACUAAAUAAAAAGGCAAGAAAUUGAGGAUGAUUGGUAUAAUCCCAGCAGGGAAGCAGAUGAGGAAAGGCAGAAGAUAAAGUUUUUUUUAUGUCUCUGCUACUGUGUGCUCCUCACCUACACAUGUUGGAAUAAACUUAGAAUAUUUCCUUUAUUCAAUGGUAUUGUUGU